RNAcentral lists this ribosomal RNA (119 nucleotides) under Pteropus alecto (black flying fox). Lineage: Eukaryota; Metazoa; Chordata; Mammalia; Chiroptera; Pteropodidae. The record is from RNAcentral.
AUCUAUGGCCAUAUUACCCUGAACAAGCCCGAUUCUGUCUGCUCUCAGAAGCUAAGCAGGGUCGGGCCUGGUUAGUACUUGGAUGGAAGACCACCUAGGAAGACUGGGUGCUGUAGGCA